UCAGAUGUGUAGCAAGCGGCCAGCCC
RNAcentral lists this non-coding RNA (26 nucleotides) under Homo sapiens (human). The record is from RNAcentral. Lineage: Eukaryota; Metazoa; Chordata; Mammalia; Primates; Hominidae.